UCUUUUUGUUUUUUAUUUAAAGUCAGACCUGCCCAAUGAAUUUUAAAUGGCCGCAGUACUUUAACUGUGCAAAGGUAGCAUAAUAAUUUGUUUUUUAAUUGGAAACUUGUAUGAAUGGUCAUACGAGGGAUUGACUUUCUUUAUCUUAUAUUAAUUAAUUUUAUUUCUCUGUGAAAAAGCAGAGAUGUAUUUAUUAGACGAUAAGACCCUUUAAAACUUUAUUUAUUAUAAAAGCAUGAGUUUUUAGUUGUUUUUUUGUGCUAUUUUUAGUGAAUUUUGUUGGGGCGACAGGUAAAUUUAUUGAACUUUACUUUUUUAUAUCACAAAUUAGUGUUUGUUUGAUCCAGGUUUAUGUUCUGAUUAAAAGCUUAAGUUACUUAAGG
Molecule: ribosomal RNA, 383 nt
Filed under: Cimex hemipterus
Lineage: Eukaryota; Metazoa; Arthropoda; Insecta; Hemiptera; Cimicidae
Description: partial 16S ribosomal RNA
Source: RNAcentral